Long non-coding RNA from Monodelphis domestica (gray short-tailed opossum), 1431 nucleotides. RefSeq lists it as uncharacterized. Lineage: Eukaryota; Metazoa; Chordata; Mammalia; Didelphimorphia; Didelphidae. The record is from RefSeq and is a predicted model, not a curated record.
GACAGCUAUCAUGUCUUUCUCUCUCUCUCUAAUGCCUAGUCAUCUCUGGUCCAAACUGAACAUCCCCAGUUCCUUCAACCUUCUGUCGAUGGCAUGGUUUCAAUGCCCUUCUCUGGACAUGAUCCAGUUUGUCAAUGUCAUUUAUAAAAUGUAGUUCCCAGAAUACCAGACUAUAGAUGUGAUCUGACCUGGAUCGAGAAUGUCAUAUUUGUCAUCUCCCUCCUUCUAAACAUUAUCAUUCUGUUAACAAAGCCCAACACUGCAAUGCCAUACUGUUAACUUGCAUUGAGCUUUUUCUAGACCACUGAGUCCAGACUUGGGAAUAAUCUUGCAAGUUCAAGAGAGCCAGAGAAGAAUCUUGAACAUUUUUAUGAGGGAGAUAUUUGAACUGUUCUUGAAAGAAAUAGGAAGUAAAGGUUAGGAAGGAAAUACAAUCCAAGCAUAGGAGACAGCUAAGGAAAAAGAAUGGAGAUGGGAAAUGAGUGCCCUGUAUGAGAAAGAAUAAGAAGGCAAUUUUGGUUGGAAGGAAGAGAAUGUGAAGGAGAGUAAUGUGUAAUAAGCUGGAGAAGUAAGUUGGGGACGGAUUGUGAAGGGCUUUAACAUCCAAACAGAGGAACUUAUAUUUGGUCCUAGCAAUAAUGUGAAGCAUUAGAGUUACUAAAGGGAGUGAUGUAGUUAGAGUUAUGCUUUGAGAAAAAAUCACUUUGGCAGCUGUGGGAAGUAGAUUGGAGUAGUGAAGAGAUGUAAAGCAGGAAAACCGAUUAAGAGUCCAGUUUGACCCUGAGCAAGUCAUUUAACCCCCAUUGUUUAGUCGUUAUUGCUCUUCUGUCUUGGAACCAAAACACAGUAUUGCUUCUAAGACAGAAUGUAAGGGUAUUGUUUAAAGAGUCCAUCGCAAUAGUUCUUUCUUAGGAUUCAUGGGACUUGAACUAUGGCAGUGUCUCAGAGAGUAGAGAAAAAGUCACAUUCUCGAGAUAUUUUGGCUUAUAGAAAUGACAAAACUUAGUAACUAAUUGUAUGAGUGUACUCUCAAGGAAGAACCCAAAGUUGUGAACCUGGGUGACUGGAAGAAUGGUGGUACCCUGGGUGGUCGAACUCCUUAAGGGCAAAGCCUGUGUCCCUCCAGGUUGAGCAAAGUGCUCAGCACAUCCUAAAUGCUUAAUAAAUUCUAGCCUGAUUGAAGUUAGUCAUCCAUUGGACACAACACAGAAGACUACUGAGUCCAAUCAUCUCAUUUGACCCAUGAUGAAAUGGAGGUAUUAAGAAGAGAUCCCUAACCAUUUUUGUGUUGUGGACAUCUAUGGCAGCUUGUUGAAGCUUUCCUUCUCAGAAUUACGUCUUUCAAUACAUAAGAAAAAAUACUCAGGAUCACAAAGGCAAGCAAGAAAGAGGACACAAAUAAAAUCACCCAUUCUCAAGGGAAAAGAGGAC